This 468-nucleotide ribosomal RNA is filed under the name uncultured bacterium. RNAcentral's name for it is "partial 16S ribosomal RNA". It matches the Rfam family "Bacterial small subunit ribosomal RNA", at positions 28 to 507 of the family's 1533-position model. The record is from RNAcentral.
GACGAACGCUGGCGGCGUGCUUAACACAUGCAAGUCGAACGGAAAGGCCCUGCUUUUGUGGUGUGCUCGAGUGGCGAACGGGUGAGUAACACGUGAGUAACCUGCCCUUGACUUUGGGAUAACUUCAGGAAACUGGGGCUAAUACCGGAUAGGAGCUCCUGCUGCAUGGUGGGGGUUGGAAAGUUUCGGCGGUUGGGGAUGGACUCGCGGCUUAUCAGCUUGUUGGUGGGGUAGUGGCUUACCAAGGCUGUGACGGGUAGCCGGCCUGAGAGGGUGACCGGCCACAAUGGGCCUGCGAUACGGCCCAGACUCCUACGGGAGGCAGCAGUGGGGAAUAUUGCACAAUGGGCGGAAGCCUGAUGCAGCAACGCCGCGUGCGGGAUGACGGCCUUCGGGUUGUAAACCGCUUUCGCCUGUGACGAAGCGUGAGUGACGGUAAUGGGUAAAGAAGCACCGGCUAACUACGUG